GACGAACGCUGGCGGCGUGCUUAACACAUGCAAGUCGAACGGAAAGGCCCUGCUUUUGUGGGGUGCUCGAGUGGCGAACGGGUGAGUAACACGUGAGUAACCUGCCCUUGACUUUGGGAUAACUUCAGGAAACUGGGGCUAAUACCGGAUAGGAGCUCCUGCUGCAUGGUGGGGGUUGGAAAGUUUCGGCGGUUGGGGAUGGACUCGCGGCUUAUCAGCUUGUUGGUGGGGGAGUGGCUUACCAAGGCUUUGACGGGUAGGCGGCCUGAGAGGGUGACCGGCCAACUUGGGACUGAGAUACGGCCCAGACUCCUACGGGAGGCAGCAGUGGGGAAUAUUGCACGAUGGGCGGAAGCCUGAUGCAGCAACGCCGCGUGCGGGAUGACGGCCUUCGGGUUGUAAACCGCUUUCGCCUGUGACGAAGCGUGAGUGACGGUAAUGGGUAAAGAAGCACCGGCUAACUACGUG
Molecule: ribosomal RNA, 468 nt
Filed under: uncultured bacterium
Lineage: Bacteria
Description: partial 16S ribosomal RNA
Rfam family: Bacterial small subunit ribosomal RNA
Source: RNAcentral